AGGAAACGGACGCUAAUACCGCAUACGUCCUACGGGAGAAAGCAGGGGACCUUCGGGCCUUGCGCUAUCAGAUGAGCCUAGGUCGGAUUAGCUAGUUGGUGAGGUAAUGGCUCACCAAGGCGACGAUCCGUAACUGGUCUGAGAGGAUGAUCAGUCACACUGGAACUGAGACACGGUCCAGACUCCUACGGGAGGCAGCAGUGGGGAAUAUUGGACAAUGGGCGGGGGGGUGAUCCAGCCAUGCCGCGUGUGUGAAGAAGGUCUUCGGAUUGUAAAGCACUUUAUUUUUUGGUUUUAAGGGUUGUAGAUUAAUACUCUGCAAUUUUGACGUUACCGACAGAAUAAGCACCGGCUAACUCUGUGCCAGCAGCCGCGGUAAUGUUA
RNAcentral lists this ribosomal RNA (384 nucleotides) under Pseudomonas lactucae. RNAcentral's name for it is "bacterial SSU rRNA". It matches the Rfam family "Bacterial small subunit ribosomal RNA", at positions 151 to 528 of the family's 1533-position model. Lineage: Bacteria; Pseudomonadati; Pseudomonadota; Gammaproteobacteria; Pseudomonadales; Pseudomonadaceae. The record is from RNAcentral.